RNAcentral lists this non-coding RNA (45 nucleotides) under Schistosoma margrebowiei. Lineage: Eukaryota; Metazoa; Platyhelminthes; Trematoda; Strigeidida; Schistosomatidae. The record is from RNAcentral.
CUCCGGUUGAUGAGUCGUAAAUAGGACGAAACGCACUUCCAGGAU